CUGAACCAGCCAAUUAGCGUUAAUGAUUACUUCCCUAUGUUUUGUAGACUUCAUUUAUAAAGGAAUAAACUCGGUUAUGUAUACAUGUUUUCAUGUACUUUAUCAAUAAGAAUCGGCUAACUCCGUGCCAGCAGCCGCGGUAAUACGGAGGAUCCGAGCGUUAUCCGGAUUUAUUGGGUUUAAAGGGAGCGUAGAUGGAUGUUUAAGUCAGUUGUGAAAGUUUGCGGCUCAACCGUAAAAUUGCAGUUGAUACUGGAUAUCUUGAGUGCAGUUGAGGCAGGCGGAAUUCGUGGUGUAGCGGUGAAAUGCUUAGAUAUCACGAAGAACUCCGAUUGCGAAGGCAGCUUACUGGAUUGUAACUGACGCUGAUGCUCGAAAGUGUGGGUAUCAAACAGGAUUAGAUACCCGUGUAGUCGCAGCUCGCGCAUAGCCGUGUACAUAG
Molecule: ribosomal RNA, 442 nt
Filed under: Gordonibacter sp. RACS_AR49
Lineage: Bacteria; Bacillati; Actinomycetota; Coriobacteriia; Eggerthellales; Eggerthellaceae
Description: bacterial SSU rRNA
Rfam family: Bacterial small subunit ribosomal RNA
Source: RNAcentral